Molecule: transfer RNA, 66 nt
Filed under: Semisulcospira libertina
Lineage: Eukaryota; Metazoa; Mollusca; Gastropoda; Semisulcospiridae
Also listed under: 2 other names
Description: tRNA-Trp
Source: RNAcentral
AAGACUUUAAGUUAAUUAAACUCUAGGCCUUCAAAGCCUGAAAUGGGUUAUUAAGCCCAAGUCUUG